This 318-nucleotide ribosomal RNA is filed under the name Triticum aestivum (bread wheat). RNAcentral describes it as "partial small subunit ribosomal RNA". The record is from RNAcentral. Lineage: Eukaryota; Viridiplantae; Streptophyta; Magnoliopsida; Poales; Poaceae.
AUGUUAAAUCGUGGCGUUGCGGCGCACGGCAGCCACAAGAUGUGGGCGGGGAAAUCCUGGGGUGGUAGGAUGGAUAGAGCGCUGGCCAAUGGGGAGCUGGCGCCAUCGGAUUCUGCUGCGCCGGUGGACGCCGCGUGGACAAUAUCCUGGGCUUUCAUGCUCCUUGUGAUCUGUGGGGACUGCCUGCCAAUCGGACCGUGUCGUAGGAUCUCCGUAGAGAAUAGUGAAAGAAGAUCGAUCGAUCCAUUCACGGGCGUUAUAAUUGCCCGGUCAUACGAUGAUGAUCACCUUUGGAGAUGGCACGACACAUGGUACUAG